Molecule: long non-coding RNA, 703 nt
Filed under: Struthio camelus australis
Lineage: Eukaryota; Metazoa; Chordata; Aves; Struthioniformes; Struthionidae
Description: lncRNA (ENSSCUG00000003061.1)
Source: RNAcentral
CUCCUUACUUGUUUGUUUGUUUCUUAAAUUUAUUGGUAGACUCUGCCCCCAUCUCCCAUCUUCAUUAUAAGAAAACAAGUGAGGAAACAAUGAAAAUGACCCCAAAAAAGAAUAAUUAUAUCUUUGCAGGUGCUUCUUCCUACAGAGCAGUCAAACAGCGGGACACUUUCUGGCUUCACAGUUACUGCGCUCCUGACAGGCUCCUUCUGGGAGGUGAGCUCCAAGACUUUCUUCAGGUUGGUCCUGACUGCUCAAGUCUAUUCUUUCAUGCAUGCAUGCUGGCAUACUCAAGCAGCUUUACCUCAUGCCCCUUUCAGCACUGAUGAUCCCUUCUCCAAUUGCUGUGACAGAACUAAAAUCUUGCUGUGUUGACUGUUUCAGAGUCAUUGAUUGCCAGGCCAAAAGAGAUGCAGUAGCUGCUUUAUAAGAUGAAACAUCUUUACAUCUCUAGGAGAGUCAGAUUUGAUGUGCUUGUUUGUUUUGCUCAUCUGUGUGAUAUGAGGUUCACAUGAGCUAUUUUUGGUGUCAUCUCAAUAGAAGAAGUAUCAGGGGCUUUGCUUGUUUUCAUAUGAGGAUGACAAGCAGAAGUGCUGCAGGUUGGAGCGCAUCUUGUAUAGUUAUGUCUUUUCCUUCCGUUCUGCUUGAGUUCGUUUCUACUUUUUAACCCAAAGCAGCCUUUGAGCUUUUUCCAUGUACAGCUUCC